UACGUAGGCAGCAAGCGUUGUUCGGAGUUACUGGGCGUAAAGGGUGUGUAGGCGGUUGUUUAAGUUUGGGGUGAAAUCUCCCGGCUCAACUGGGAGGGUGCGCCGAAUACUGAGGGGCUAGAGUGUGGUAGGGGAUACUGGAAUUCCUGGUGUAGCGGUGAAAUGCGUAGAUAUCAGGAGGAAUACCUAUGGCGAAAGCAGGUAUCUGGGCCAUCACUGACGCUGAGCUGCGAAAGCUAGGGGAGCAAACAGG
RNAcentral lists this ribosomal RNA (253 nucleotides) under uncultured bacterium. RNAcentral's name for it is "partial 16S ribosomal RNA". It matches the Rfam family "Bacterial small subunit ribosomal RNA", at positions 524 to 776 of the family's 1533-position model. The record is from RNAcentral.